GCAGUAGUGGUUCAGUGGUAGAAUUCUCACCUUCCAUGAGGGAAAAAAAAAAAAAAAAAUUUUUUUUUUUUUUUUUAAUGAGGGAAACCUGAGUUCAAUUCCCAGCCAAUGCA
Molecule: transfer RNA, 113 nt
Filed under: Loxodonta africana (African savanna elephant)
Lineage: Eukaryota; Metazoa; Chordata; Mammalia; Proboscidea; Elephantidae
Rfam family: tRNA
About the family: Transfer RNA (tRNA) molecules are approximately 80 nucleotides in length. Their secondary structure includes four short double-helical elements and three loops (D, anti-codon, and T loops).
Source: Rfam by way of RNAcentral